RNAcentral lists this transfer RNA (71 nucleotides) under Apis dorsata (giant honeybee). RNAcentral's name for it is "tRNA-Ala". The record is from RNAcentral. Lineage: Eukaryota; Metazoa; Arthropoda; Insecta; Hymenoptera; Apidae.
UGGAUAUUAGUUUAAAAUAAAACAUUUAAAUUGCGAUUAAAAAUUAAUAAUUAAUAUAUUAUUAUAUCUAA